RNAcentral lists this ribosomal RNA (403 nucleotides) under uncultured bacterium. RNAcentral's name for it is "partial 16S ribosomal RNA". It matches the Rfam family "Bacterial small subunit ribosomal RNA", at positions 30 to 526 of the family's 1533-position model. The record is from RNAcentral.
AUUGAACGCUAGCGGGAUGCUUUACACAUGCAAGUCGAACGAGUGGCGGACGGGUGAGUAAUAUAUCGGAAGUGCCCAGUAGCGGGGGAUAACUACUGGAAACGGUAGCUAAUACCGCAUACUAUCGGAUAACCCAUAUGGGAUUAGCUAGUAGGUGAGGUAAUGGCUCACCUAGGCGACGAUCCCUAGCUGGUCUGAGAGGAUGAUGAUCCAGACGGGGACUGAGACACGGCCCAGACGCCGCCGGGGGUAGCAGUGGGGAAGAUUGCCCAAUGGGCGCAAGCCUGAUGCAGCCAUGCCGCGUGUAUGAAGAAGGCCCUAGGGUUGUAAAGUACUUUCAGUCGGGAGGCGUUACCGACAGAAGAAGCACCGGCUAACUCCGUGCCAGCAGCCGCGGUAAUUC